This 1150-nucleotide long non-coding RNA is filed under the name Phascolarctos cinereus (koala). RNAcentral's name for it is "lncRNA (ENSPCIG00000010102.2)". The record is from RNAcentral. Lineage: Eukaryota; Metazoa; Chordata; Mammalia; Diprotodontia; Phascolarctidae.
GGCCAGUAGGAGUUUACCAGAGGCUACUAGAAGCAUUUUGUUUUUCAAACGCUCAGGCUCUACUUGUUGGCAAAUCCAUUCCCAGUUGCCCUAACACAGAGCCUCUCAAGUCAUCUCAGCUGUCGAUACGCCAUCACCCAAUGGUAACUAGCUGAGAGCAUUGCAGGCUGUCUACAGGAAAUCUUACAAGCCAUAAAGAGGCCUACAAUGGACAAAGAGAUUGGUAUAGUGACUGAUAGUGAUUUCAAGAGAACAUGAUGGUGAAACUCACCAGAGGAAGAAGGUUCUGGGAACAUCUGUUAGAUCAGAUCUCUGGUAGCAGGGAUGAUGGAUCAAUCUCCAAGAAGCCCCAAAUGGAGCAUGGGGUCCCCAUGAAGACACCAAAUAGUCAUCUGUUCAUCAUAUGUAAUGCUCCCUAGGUCAGUGAGGCAAGGUUGUUUCCCUUCCUCCUUUGUUCUGUGCAGUUAGUGGGAACAUAAAUCAACAGAUUUUGCUAUUACUAAUUAAUAGGAAGUGAGAUCUAUCUAAGGAAGAGAAGCAAUAUAUAUUAUAAUCCAGUCCUUUGUCCCAAAUAAGACAAAGGGUGCUAAAUGGUAGGCACCAAUUAAUCUGUUUCCAGACUAAGUACAUGAUUGACUCUUUUCUGAUAUAGCUUUGUACAAAAUGUCUUCAGAAUGAUGGCAGAGCCAAGGGAAAGCUGUAGAUAAGACCUUAACCUUCCAGGUAGAAAGGAGAGGGAGGAGCUUGAGUCCAGAGAAGCAGGGACUUAAGCAGAAAAGCAAAGCUUGAGGCAUGAGUACUUGAUUGUAACGGGUAUCUGCAAUGUGGCUCUUCUCAACGAUACAAUGAUCCAAGACAAUCCCAAAGGACUCAUGGUGGAAAAUGCUAUCCACAUCCAAAGAAAGAACUGAUGUCUGAAUACAGACUGAAACACAUUAUUUCCCUCUUCUUUUCUUUCUUGUUUCCUUCCUUUUUCAAGUCUUCUUGCACAAAAUGACUAACAUGUAAAUGUUUUACAUGAUUUCACAUGUAUAACCUAUAUCAGAUUGCUUACUGUCUCAGGAAGGGGGAGAGGAGGGGAGGAUAGAAUUUGGAACUCAAAACUUAAAAAAAACACAAAUGUUAAAAUUUGUUUUAACAUGUAAUUGAG